RNAcentral lists this transfer RNA (69 nucleotides) under Abbottina rivularis (Chinese false gudgeon). RNAcentral describes it as "tRNA-Ser". The record is from RNAcentral. Lineage: Eukaryota; Metazoa; Chordata; Actinopteri; Cypriniformes; Gobionidae.
AAGGAAGGACAGAAAUCGAUAAGUACUGCUAAUUCUUAUGCACUGGGGUUAAAAUCCCCGGCUUCCUCG